This 492-nucleotide ribosomal RNA is filed under the name uncultured bacterium. RNAcentral describes it as "partial 16S ribosomal RNA". It matches the Rfam family "Bacterial small subunit ribosomal RNA", at positions 28 to 507 of the family's 1533-position model. The record is from RNAcentral.
GAUGAACGCUAGCUACAGGCUUAACACAUGCAAGUCGAGGGGAAACGACAUCGAAAGCUUGCUUUUGAUGGGCGUCGACCGGCGCACGGGUGAGUAACGCGUAUCCAACCUGCCCAUCACUUGGGAAUAACCUUGCGAAAGUAAGACUAAUACCCAAUGAUAUCCCACGAAGGCAUCGGAAUGGGAUUAAAGAUUUAUCGGUGAUGGAUGGGGAUGCGUCUGAUUAGCUUGUUGGCGGGGUAACGGCCCACCAAGGCAACGAUCAGUAGGGGUUCUGAGAGGAAGGUCCCCCACAUUGGAACUGAGACACGGUCCAAACUCCUACGGGAGGCAGCAGUGAGGAAGAUUGGUCAAUGGGCGAGAGCCUGAACCAGCCAAGUAGCGUGCAGGAAGACGGCCCUAUGGGUGGUAAACUGCUUUUAUAAGGGAAUAAAGUGGGUCACGUGUGACUUUUUGCAUGUACCUUAUGAAUAAGAACCGGCUAAUUCCGUG